UCCAGGCGCAGGGGAGCGCCGGAGCACCCGGGGCUGAGUCCCAGUGACUUUUACGGAGCACUUUCCUACCUAACCUUGUGCACACAGACGGGGAUUCUGCACCUGCCUCGGGGACAGUCUGGCAGCAGCCCUUGCUGUGCCUCAGGGGACAAGGAAGUCACCCAUAGCCACUAGGAAAUUGGAUCAUGGCAAAAUUAGCAACAAAUCUGUAAAGGAAACGGAAGGCAGUUUGAUGGGAGCUCUGAUGACAGUCCCACAAAAGUCGAAGAAGUGCGUCUGUCUCCACAGGAGAUGAUGGUCGUGCCCGACAAUGCGGACCUGAUUCAGAGGUUUGGGCAAAGUGCCAGUGGUGUACUCUUCACUGCCGAGGAACGCAUCACACGACAGAGUCCCGGCCACCAUUCGGCAGGU
Molecule: long non-coding RNA, 411 nt
Organism: Hipposideros armiger (great roundleaf bat)
Lineage: Eukaryota; Metazoa; Chordata; Mammalia; Chiroptera; Hipposideridae
Exons: 3
Source: RefSeq, a predicted model, not a curated record